CUACGGGGGGCUCCAGUUAGGAAUAAUCUACAAUGCGCGCAAGCGUGAUAGUUUGAGCCAGAGUGUUUUUCUAUUUGAAAAGCUUUUGCCGAAUGUAAAAAGUUCGGCGAAUAAGGACUGGGUAAGACGAGUGCCAGCCGCCGCGGUAAUACUCGCGGUCCAAGUCGCAGCCAUUUUUAUUGGGUCUAAAACAUCCGUAGCUUGCUUGAUAAGUUUCCUGUGAAAUCCGGCUUCUUAAGAGUUGGGCGGGCAGGAAGUACUGUUAAGCUAGAGACUGGGAGACGUAAGAAGUACGUUUAAAGUAACGGUAAAAUGUGUUAAUCUUAAACGGACUCACAACAGCGAAGGCAUCUUACGAGAACAGUUCUGACAGUCAGGGAUGAAGGCUAGGGGCGCAAAGCGGAUUAGAUACCCCGGUAGUC
Molecule: ribosomal RNA, 422 nt
Filed under: uncultured archaeon
Lineage: Archaea
Description: partial 16S ribosomal RNA
Rfam family: Archaeal small subunit ribosomal RNA
Source: RNAcentral